GCAGAGAGAACCUUUUAUUUUAACGUCCCAAUCGAGAGAAACAGUUUUUUUUAUCAGAUACCAAAGAGCUGCUGCCCUCCCUCAGAUGCAGCGGACUAAUCUCGAACUAAAAACAUGAACGUUGGCCAUUUUUUUCAGGCGAGUCGACACCCAUGAUUACGUCUGUCGAACGCUUGGCUUUAGUCGCCGGUAUAUUACAACUCCCGAUUUGAUGUAAUCCAAUAUCUGAGCUUGUAAUUUCAGAUGUCUGGUGAUUAUUUUUUCCCUUUUCUAAAUUUUCUAAUGAUAAAUCUAAAGAAUAUAUGUGUGUUCAAGGACAGAGGACGAAAUAGCCUAUGGGUUAAAGUCUCGAUGAAUGUUGUUUGACUGCCCUGUCACGUCAACACCACCCAGCCAAAAUAACCGUGUGAUUCGCGCCGUUGAUAAAAACUUUUUUUUUUUAAAAAGGACGAGACAAUCGACAAUACAAACUAACCAACCGGUUUUAAACAAAAAUCUAAUAUUCAUAGACACAGCAGAACUUAGGCUCAAUUCAGCUAUCACAGCAGGGGACGAACUAGUUUGGGCCAGUUCGUUGUCGUACGCAAGAUUUGAUGGAUGACCAGCUUCUGGAAUGGAUGGACGGAAACGAGUUUAUGGGUUCUUGAACCAGAGGAUAUUUUCUCGAGGGUUCCAUUCUUGUUGGAUGCGUUCCCAAGUGGGCAAAAGAGAUAGCCAGGGUGUGGUUAUCUUAACAUCUAUGAAGAAACAAGACAUCGAUAAGACAAUUUUUUCAACAAGGAUUUCACAACAUUUUUCUUUUGAGAGGGGGGUUGCUUUAAGCUAAAUUUUUUUCUGUCAAUCGCUAUAGCGGAAUUUUAUUUAAUACUUGAAAGUUGUAAUUUGGUUACUAUUAUGUAACAGAUUGAUGUAAUUUUCCCAUGAGAUGAACUUACUUUUGCUUUAACAGUGACUAAAUCAGAAUUGACUCUUAUUUAUGACAUUUAUAAUUUACGCAAGGUAUUUUAUAUCUGCCCAAAAAAUACUGAUAAGAGUUUUGUUAUAGAAAUAGAAAGUACAGUGUGCAAAAUGUGUAUAUUCAAGAUAAUAGGCUCGCAAUUUUCUAUUUUUCAGAUUAAAUC
Molecule: long non-coding RNA, 1121 nt
Organism: Daphnia pulex (common water flea)
Lineage: Eukaryota; Metazoa; Arthropoda; Branchiopoda; Diplostraca; Daphniidae
Exons: 3
Source: RefSeq, a predicted model, not a curated record